GCCAGGCACGGUGGUGCAUGCCUGUAAUCCCAGCAGCUGGAAGGCUGAAACAGGAAGAUCUCCAGUUCAAAGUUAGCUUCAGAAACAUUGAGGUGCUAAGCAACUCAGUGAGACCCUGUCUCUC
This 124-nucleotide small RNA is filed under the name Marmota monax (woodchuck). The record is from RNAcentral. Lineage: Eukaryota; Metazoa; Chordata; Mammalia; Rodentia; Sciuridae.